This 240-nucleotide ribosomal RNA is filed under the name Triticum aestivum (bread wheat). RNAcentral's name for it is "partial small subunit ribosomal RNA". Lineage: Eukaryota; Viridiplantae; Streptophyta; Magnoliopsida; Poales; Poaceae. The record is from RNAcentral.
GAAUUUAACUCUUUCAUGCUUACUUUAACUAGUUAUUUUGGUUUUCUACUGGCUGCUUUAACUAUAACCCCAGCUCUAUUUAUUGGCAUGACUGCAAUUUUAGAGAGACGCGAAAGUACAAGCCUGUGGGGUCGCUUCUGCAAUUGGAUAACUAGCACUGAAAAUCGUCUUUACAUCGGAUGGUUCGGUGUUUUGAUGAUCCCUACCUUAUUGAACUCGGCUCAAUCUUUUUUUUUCUAA